UCCCCGAUGGUCUAGUGGUCAUGAUUUCCGCUUGUCACGCGGGAGACCAGGUAAGCAGUUCAAUCUACUGGUUGCCAACAUCCUAACUAAUAAGUAUCGUAGGGUUCGAUUCCCUGUCGAGGAG
Oleoguttula sp. CCFEE 5521 is the source of this 124-nucleotide non-coding RNA. The record is from the annotation of a GenBank genome assembly. Lineage: Eukaryota; Fungi; Ascomycota; Dothideomycetes; Mycosphaerellales; Teratosphaeriaceae.